RNAcentral lists this long non-coding RNA (411 nucleotides) under Pan troglodytes (chimpanzee). RNAcentral's name for it is "lncRNA (ENSPTRG00000053955.1)". The record is from RNAcentral. Lineage: Eukaryota; Metazoa; Chordata; Mammalia; Primates; Hominidae.
CAGAUAAACUCCAUGCCAGUUUGGAGACAUUGCAGAUGCCAACCCAGGAAUUUGAGUUCUGGACCCAUCUUUAAUACUCCCUGCAAAACAUUGCUUUCUGUUUGCUAGAUGAAGAGGAUAACUUAUUCGCACCCCCCAAGCUGACCGACGAGGACUUCUCGCCAUUUGGCUCUGGAGGCGGCCUGUUCAGUGGGGGCAAGGGGCUCUUUGAUGAUGAGGACGAGGAGAGUGACCUCUUCACGGAAGCCCCCCAGGAUCAGCAAGCUGGAGCCUCUGUUAAGGAGGAGUCUUCAUCAUCCAAACCUGGAAAGAAAAUCCUAGCAGGAGCUCUUUCUGUAUUUUUAGGUAACAUAACUUCAGGCUUUGUCUUCUCCUAAAAACUCACAAAUACCUCGUCUCUUUUCCCCAUUU